This is a long non-coding RNA of Callithrix jacchus (white-tufted-ear marmoset), 1749 nucleotides long. NCBI's taxonomy places the organism in Eukaryota, Metazoa, Chordata, Mammalia, Primates, Cebidae. The record is from Ensembl.
AUCGGGCAGGACACCUGUCACAGGAGGGUCUUCAGAAGAGAAAGGAAGGAGAGGGUCAGAGACUGACCUUCCUAUAUUCUAUGGCCUGUUUCAGGAGAGAAUGGUGGGAGAAGAAAUAGCAGAGCAGAUGGCAGUCCAACAUAAAAAGAAGGAUAUGUCACCAUCUCCAACAGUGGCACAUGGACAAGAGAUCGCAGUGUCUGGGAACCACAUGGCUACUGUGGAAGCAUCACUGUCCAAUAGAACUUUCCAGGUUGGUAGAACUGUUCUACAUCUACACUGUCUAGUACAAUGGCCACUAGACACAUGAGCACUUGAGUGCUUGAAAUGAGGUAAUGAGACUGAAGAACUGAAAGUUUAAUUUUAUUUCAUUUUAAUUACAUACAAUUUAAAUUCGAGUAGCCACAUGAGGCUGGCGGCUUAUGUAUUGAACAAGCAGCUCGCAAGAACAAAUCUCGACUUUGUCACUUAUGGGGUAAAUUUCUAGACAUUUUCAAGCCUUGGUUCCCUCAUCUGUAUUUCUUGUGUGCUGGCACCAGAAUUAUCAUUGAGACAGAACUGGCAUUGUUUGAAAAAAUACCUUGAUAGGUAAUUUGGCCAUCAAAACCUAGGCUUCAGAGAAGGGUCUGGAGAGGAAAUGCAGAACUCAAGAAGGACCAAGUCAUUUUCUAUAAGAAUAUGGGAGAAAUUAUUCAUUAAUUGUUAGCCCUGAGUGAGAAGGAGUAAGGGAAGAAAGGGAAAGAAGAGCCAGUAAGAAAGUUUGGGAGCUACCUGGAAUGUUAGGGACUCUUAUGAACAGGGAGAGCUAAUAUUAGUUUUCAGUUACUUGUGUUACUGUUGUAAACCCAUGCUGUCUUUCUAAACCCUUGGUCAAAUUUGCUGUAAACAUAAAUGUCUUUGUUGGGUGUGUGUGUGUGUGUGUGUGUGUCUGUGUGUGUGUAUGUAUUAAGUAAAGGGAAUAAGCCCAAUGUGUACACUAGAAUUGAAUGGAAAAGGGAAAACAUGGAAUGAUUAGACUGUUAAUAAGCUGAAGAAAUGCAGUGAAAGCAGGAGUUAAGAGGCAGAGGAAACCAUGACAAAGUAAGCCCUUAAGAAAGUUGUAGCUAACAUAUGUUUUUUGUAAAAUGGGGGUUCACACCAAGCUCAUAUAAAUCUCAAAAGGAAGGAUCAGCACAACUAAUACUUACAUGUAAACUGGAGACAGUAACACCUACUUGAGGGAUCGUUGUGACGAUAAAAUGAGAUAAUGCUUGUGAAGUGCUUAUACAUAGUAAAAGCUUAAUAAAACUUUAGUUUCAUGGUUUUGAAAUGAAUACACGGCUGAUCCUUGAACAACGUGAGGGUUAAGGCACCGACCCUCACUUGUGGUCAAAAAUUCAUAUAUAACUUUUGCCUCGCCCAAAACUGAUCUACUGAUAGCCUUACCAAUAGCAUAAACUGUAGAUUAACACAUAUUUUGUAUGUUAAAUGUAUUCCAUGCUGUAUUCUUACAAUAAAGUAAACUAGAGAAAAGAAAAUGUUAUUAAGAAAAUCAUAAGGAAGAGAAAAUAUAUUUACCAUUCAUUAAGUGGAAGUGGAUCAUCACAAAGAUCAUCCUCUUCUUCACAUUGAGUCGGCUGAGGAGGAGGAGGGAGAGGAGGAGUUGGUCUUGGUGUCUCAGGGGUGACAGAGACAGAAGAAGAUCCACAAAUAAGUGGACGCUUGCAGUUAAAAUCCAUGUUGAUCAAGGGUCUAUUGUAAUACUCUUUU